This 345-nucleotide RNase P RNA is filed under the name Candidatus Peribacteria bacterium. RNAcentral describes it as "RNase P RNA component class A". It matches the Rfam family "Bacterial RNase P class A". From Rfam's summary of the family: Ribonuclease P (RNase P) is a ubiquitous endoribonuclease, found in archaea, bacteria and eukarya as well as chloroplasts and mitochondria. Its best characterised activity is the generation of mature 5'-ends of tRNAs by cleaving the 5'-leader elements of precursor-tRNAs. Cellular RNase Ps are ribonucleoproteins. The record is from RNAcentral. Lineage: Bacteria; Candidatus Peregrinibacteriota; Candidatus Peribacteria.
UAGGUCAAACAAAGUACAAUCCCGACAGCCGUCGGGAAGGAAAGUCCUGACAUCAUAAAAAGGGAGGUAGCUCACGGCUACUGGAUGGCUUCUCACCCAAAUGAAAGUGCCACAGAAACGGAAACUACUCCGCAAUACUGCGGAGGAAAGAUGCAACGUGAAGGUACUCGCAAUAUUGCGGGUUACUUCUCCUCACCCCGCAAGAUCUGCGGGGGAGUGGUAAACCACUUCCUGAUGCAAGCUUACCCCGCAGCAAGUGCGGGACAGUGCAAGACAAAAGCUAUACGCUUUUCCAGACAUAUCGUACUUGAAACACAGAAUCAGGCUUAUUGUUUGACGAGAUCU